CCCUUAGAUGUUCUGGGCCGCACGCGCGCUACACUGACGAUGGCAACGAGUUUUUCCUUCGCCGAAAGGUGUGGGUAAUCUUUUGAAACAUCGUCGUGCUGGGGAUAGAUCAUUGCAAUUUUUGAUCUUGAACGAGGAAUUCCUAGUAAACGCAAGUCAUCAGCUUGCAUUGAUUACGUCCCUGCCCUUUGUACACACCGCCCGUCGCACCUACCGAUUGAAUGGUCCGGUGAAAUCUUGGGAUUUUGUUUUGUUUGCAUUUAUUUGUAUCGAGACGAGAGAACUUGAGUAAACCUUACCAUUUAGAGGAAGGUGAAGUCGUAACA
This 326-nucleotide ribosomal RNA is filed under the name uncultured eukaryote. RNAcentral describes it as "partial 18S ribosomal RNA". It matches the Rfam family "Eukaryotic small subunit ribosomal RNA", at positions 1470 to 1796 of the family's 1831-position model. The record is from RNAcentral.